AGCUAGAUUAACAAAAGAAAAAUAGUUUAUUGACUGUUUUAAACCGAAAUUAAACAUGCGGAACAUUUUACAUGAUACGGAGUCAAAUGUCAUAUCAGUUUGUUUCGUGUCCGCUCUGUAACUCUUGAACCCCUUAAAGGAUUUCAAAGAAACUUGACACAAAUGUUCACCACACUGAGACGAUGUGCAGAGCGCAUGUUCCGGAUGACUCGCUUCAAGGUCAAUGUCACACUUAAGGGUCAAAGGUCAUAUAUGACUUUGCUUUGUGUAUAUUGCUCUGCAUUGCAGUGCUCUUGUUUUUAUUUGGCAUAUCUCUUUUUUGUACUUACAAUAUUUUUUUUGAAUUACUUCCCUUUUAUGUAACUAUAAAUAGCUUAUUUUGAAACUUUUUAUUAUUGACCGUAGGGAAAAACCGAGACCACUUUUCUGUGGUACAACAUGGAUGGCACUUCCAAUUUUUAUGUCUAUUUUUACAUAUCUUUGCCUGAUAAGGAUUUUUUUAUGUAGACUUUGAAUAUAUUAUUUGGGUACUUUUGUUUUUUGAAGUUUUCCUUUUGUUGUUCCAGUCCUUUGGGCUACAACAGUCAAGUUCUUAAAAUUUUGCUCCCAUCCUAUGAUGUAAGCCUUCGGGCGUAUAUUGCCCCGCUUGGCGGUGCUCUUGUUAAGUCUUCAGUUGACUGUAUGUUAUUUCAGAUGAGUUGGGCGGACGUCCAUAGACUUUGUCCGGAGCAUAUCUUCUUCAUGCACGGAGUGAUUUUGAUGAAACUUGGCACAAUUGUUCAUCAUCAUGAGACGGAGUGUUAUGCGUAAGAACUAUGUCCAUAGGUCUAAGGUCAAGGUCAAACUUAGAGGCCAAAGCUCAGCUACAAGAAUGACUGUCCGGAGCAUUUAUUCUUCAUGCAUGGAAGGAUUUUGAUGUUACUUUUGAAGAAUUGUUCACCAUCAUGAGACAGAGUGUCAUGCGCAAGAAGCAGGCAGAUGUGUACAUACAAGAUGGAAAAUAUACAAAGGAGAAGUUUUCCUCCAAUAUGAAGGACAACUAGUAGAGAUGGAUUCACAAGGAGAUGACACUUACGUUGAUGAGAUGGAGGUAGGACAAAAGAUGAAGUCCCUGAAAUCAGUACUCCUGGGAGCUAGUUGACAGAAACUGGUAGUUGCAUUUGUUGCUUAAUGUGGGGGUGAAUAUGUAUCCACGUUCCUGUCUUCUACAACACAUGGUUUCAAGCAGUGUAGUGCAAGU
This is a long non-coding RNA of Mercenaria mercenaria, 1240 nucleotides long. RefSeq lists it as uncharacterized. The transcript has 3 exons. Lineage: Eukaryota; Metazoa; Mollusca; Bivalvia; Venerida; Veneridae. The record is from RefSeq and is a predicted model, not a curated record.